This 67-nucleotide transfer RNA is filed under the name Microsciurus sabanillae (sabanillae dwarf squirrel). RNAcentral's name for it is "tRNA-Arg". It matches the Rfam family "tRNA". Rfam says of the family: Transfer RNA (tRNA) molecules are approximately 80 nucleotides in length. Their secondary structure includes four short double-helical elements and three loops (D, anti-codon, and T loops). The record is from RNAcentral. Lineage: Eukaryota; Metazoa; Chordata; Mammalia; Rodentia; Sciuridae.
UGGUAAUUAGUUUAAGCUAAAACAAGUGAUUUCGACUCACUAGACUAUGGUCUACCAUAAUUACUAA